Molecule: ribosomal RNA, 441 nt
Filed under: uncultured Bacteroidota bacterium
Lineage: Bacteria; Pseudomonadati; Bacteroidota
Description: bacterial SSU rRNA
Rfam family: Bacterial small subunit ribosomal RNA
Source: RNAcentral
GGGCCCGCACAAGCGGAGGAACAUGUGGUUUAAUUCGAUGAUACGCGAGGAACCUUACCCGGGCUUGAAAGUUAGCGACGGACCUUGAAAGAGGUCUUCCCUUCGGGGCGCGAAACUAGGUGCUGCAUGGUUGUCGUCAGCUCGUGCCGUGAGGUGUCGGGUUAAGUCCCAUAACGAGCGCAACCCCUACUGUUAGUUACCAGCAUGUUAAGAUGGGGACUCUAACAGGACUGCCGGUGUAAGCCGAGAGGAAGGUGGGGAUGACGUCAAAUCAGCACGGCCCUUACGUCCGGGGCGACACACGUGUUACAAUGGUCGGUACAGAGGGUCGCUACCUGGUGACAGGAUGCUAAUCUCGAAAGCCGAUCUCAGUUCGGAUUGGAGGCUGAAACUCGCCUCCAUGAAGUUGGAUUCGCUAGUAAUCGCGCAUCAGCCAUGGCG